This 253-nucleotide ribosomal RNA is filed under the name uncultured bacterium. RNAcentral's name for it is "partial 16S ribosomal RNA". It matches the Rfam family "Bacterial small subunit ribosomal RNA", at positions 524 to 776 of the family's 1533-position model. The record is from RNAcentral.
UACGUAGGGCGCAAGCGUUGUCCGGAAUUAUUGGGCGUAAAGAGCUCGUAGGCGGUUUGUCGCGUCUGCUGUGAAAACCUAAGGCUCAACCUUGGGCUUGCAGUGGGUACGGGCAGACUAGAGUGCGGUAGGGGUGACUGGAAUUCCUGGUGUAGCGGUGAAAUGCGCAGAUAUCAGGAAGAACACCCGUGGCGAAAGCGGCUCUCUGGAACGGUACUGACGCUGAGGCGCGAAAGCGUGGGGAGCGAACAGG